Pelobates cultripes (western spadefoot toad) is the source of this 476-nucleotide non-coding RNA. Lineage: Eukaryota; Metazoa; Chordata; Amphibia; Anura; Pelobatidae. The record is from the annotation of a GenBank genome assembly.
CUCCGGAUCACUAAAACACUUUAGUCUGCUGAAAUGGUUUAUGUGCGAAUAAUGUGUCCUCUUUUUUUUCCAUUUUACAAAUUGUUACGUCCUGGUUUGUUUAGCUCUUUGGAACUAAACUUAAGAGGCAGGCAAUUGAUCAGAGGACUUGCCUUGCCGCAAUUUGUCAUCAGGACAUGACAACCAUGACAGUUCUAGGCCCCACAUUCCAUAAUUGCACAUAUAUAAAGCGAUUAUCGUUAUAUACCUGUGCACUGCUGGCCCCCAGCUUCCUGUAAUUGCAGGGAGGCCAGCAGACUCCAUGUUCACUUCUCAGCUGCUCUUCUGUCUUUUUAUUAUGCAAGCUCCCGUGCGGUUUGCAAGAGUAUGAGAGAGAGGAGCUAAGAAGUGAACAUAAAGUGUGCUAGUCCCCCUGCAGUAACAGGUAGCCAGACAUCCACACCAUACCACUGGACCACCAGGGAAUGUAAUCUCCC